CAUUUUUGGGGGUAGGCUCCGCCCCUGCCUUCAACAUCAGGCAGGAUCUGCCGGACUACAGCUAGACCCGGACGAAAGGCGGGGCAUAUGCCAAAAUCUUAUGAGACUCAAGCAUCUCUUUUAUUUUGAGACUGAUUCGAAUUUCUGUCUUUUAAUUUAACAUGGAAUAAAUGUCAUUCAAACGUUCACUUGCCUUCUGAGUCUUUAUGGUAGAAAUGAAAGCGUCAGCGUGUCGUAGCUGAAGUUCACCUCCAUCCUCCCCACCACCACCAGGUUGUUCCCUGUUCUUUUGUCCGGGGGUAGGCUCCGCCCCUGCCUUCAACAUCAGGCAGGAUCUGCCGGACUACAGCUAGACCCGGACGAAAGGCGGGGCAUAUGCCAAAAUCUUAUGAGACUCAAGCAUCUCUUUUAUUUUGAGACUGAUUCGAAUUUCUGUCUUUUAAUUUAACAUGGAAUAAAUGUCAUUCAAACGUU
This is a non-coding RNA of Misgurnus anguillicaudatus (oriental weatherfish), 474 nucleotides long. NCBI's taxonomy places the organism in Eukaryota, Metazoa, Chordata, Actinopteri, Cypriniformes, Cobitidae. The record is from RefSeq and is a predicted model, not a curated record.